UGGGGGAGAGAAAAAGCUGGAAGAACCAAAUGAGCAAAAACAUGGCAGGGGGACAAGGGAAGUGACUUGCAGAACAGUUUUAGGAAGGGGAGCAAAGCGGAGAUCAGAAGUACCCAACCAAAUGCCAGACCACAUAAGCUUUGUCACCAAGUGCCCUGACGUCUGCCAAACUGAAGUUCUUGAGGAUCUCAAAGAAUUCGAAACCAUAUAUAAAAUAAAUAAAUGCAAAUGGCACAUCUCCUA
Canis lupus familiaris (dog) is the source of this 243-nucleotide long non-coding RNA. RefSeq lists it as uncharacterized. Lineage: Eukaryota; Metazoa; Chordata; Mammalia; Carnivora; Canidae. The transcript has 2 exons. The record is from RefSeq and is a predicted model, not a curated record.